AAAAAUUUAAAAAAUAUUUUCUUUUCUGAUACACAGUUUUUACCCAACUGAACAAAUCACGGAUUUGAUUAACGUCAUGACCUGAAAUUCCAAUCCGUUGUGAUGACGCCAAACACAAGCUAGGCAAGCCGAAACAAAACAAUAAAGAAUCCGAACAACAUAAAUUAUAGAAAUAACAUAAGUCUGAAACCUUAAUGUAACAAAAUACUGCCAAUAUAAGGUAAAUCUCCUAGAAACUGGUAAAUACGAAGUCAUGAGCUCUAUUACAGAAUAUAGGUUUGAAAAAACUAAAUAAUAAUACUGUUUGAACUGAAACAACAGUAUAUAAGAAAAGACAAGUCAAACUGUGGCCAAUGAUAUAUGCAGCUCUGCCUCACCUCUCGAUGCUCAAUCCAACAAACAAAUCUACUGCUGAUAACUGGUCUCUACAACUGGAUCUGCACAAUUAAGUGAUGGGUGUAAUAUGAGUACAAUCGACCCAAUGUACUUAAUAAGAAUCAUCACUAACUUCGGUGAGGUAAAAAGGAACGAAUUAUGAAUGAUACUAGCUAUAACCUGUAUAAUUUUAUUAUUUUAACAAGUAUAUAACAAUAAUAAAAUCAAGUCAUAAAGCACAGGAAUAACAUCUGUUUGUAUGUGUGCAGUUACUCAAUACUCUGUUCAGUCAAUGUUCAGCAUGUAGAGAUGAUAUGUAGUUAAUUCAGGUAAUUAACCAUGAAAAUUGCAAAUAAAAAUGAAAUGCAAAAUCCAAACAAACACUAGCCAGAUUUCCUCAGCCUUUCCAUAUUCUUACCAAACCACUGAGCAGUUUUUCUCAAUAUCCGCAUGUACGCCAUCAAGAGAGAAAUAUGAGAGGAUGACCCUGGGGUAUGGAUCCAUAUCCACAUGCAAGAAUGGCAAAUUCAAUGUUCUACCAGCCCAGCGUGGUCAUAGUCUCAAUAUCAUAAUCCACACGGCGUGGUCACAGACAUAACAAUGCAAUCCUGACGUGGUCAUAGGUAUAACAACAUAAUCCGCCUGGCAUGGUCACAACCAUAACAACAUAAUCUGUCCAACGUGGUCACAUGCAUAACAACAUAAUCUGUCCCACGUGGUCACAAGCAUAAUAACAUAAUCCGCUCGGCGUGGUCACAAGCAUAUCAACAUACUCCGCUCAGCAUGGUCACAUGCACAGUAACACAAUCCGCCUAGCAUGGUUACAUGCAUAGUAAUACAAUCCGUCCAGCGUGGCAAUAUGCAUCCAAUCCAAAUCAUAUCAUACAGAAGCAAAUGUACAAAUAUACAUGUAUAUGAUGAAUGAAUAGCAGAUCCAUGCUCAUGGACUGGUAUAAGUGUCAUGCUAAAGUGUAGGCAUGUGCAUAGUGUGCUAUCAUAGCUCAAAUCGGCUAUGUUAUCACAGAGAUAACAAUUAUCAAGUUCAUUCAUGGAUUUAGCCUUUAUGUAACCUCAAACAUGGUUCAAAUAGUUCAAAACAAUGUUACAAAAAUGAGAAACAUUAUAGCUUAAAGCUUAACAGUCAAUUCUAUGCAUAUCACAGCCUAAGCACUACCCGAGCAUGGAUAAAUACCCUGGUGUUUGCACAAAGGCUCAAACCAAGUUUAGAUAAGAUACUUACCUCUAGCAAAUCAAAUCACUCUGUUAUCAAGCCCUUCCCGUGCGUAUCAACCUCCUGAAGGAUCGAACCUAACCAAAAUAAUGUAAUGCUAUCAAUAAAAGACAUAAGGAGUUAUUCCAAAAGAUAAAGCUAAGAUCUUUAACUCAAGUCAAAAAGUCAACCCGGGACCGCAUUUCGGAAAUCAACAAAAUUCACAAAUUUCGAACAAUCAUUCAAUUACGAGUUCAAACAUACCACAACCAUCCAAUUCCAACCACAAAUCACCCCUCAAAUCUUCAAAUUUCACUCUCCAAUAACAUAGUCCAAACAUUCCCAAAUUUUUGUCACACUCCUUUUUUUAACCAAACUUCACUAACCCCUCUUAAAUAAAUAAAAGGAAUUUAUAAAGCUUGAAAAGGAUUUUUAAUUAAAAAGUGACAAAAUUUUGUGCAAAAUUAAAUUACUCAGAGUCGCCACCUGACAUUGAAUUCGGUAUGCCAGGUCAUCGUUUUCUUUAAAAAUAAUUUUUCCUUUUAAAACACUUAGACUCUAAAACCAAGUCCGCACCAGAGAUUCGGGUAAGGGGGUUUAUUUGACUCGGGGAGAAGGUGUUAGGCAUUCCACAAGUUCUGUAACUAAUACGGUUGCGUACAUAAUCAAGUUGGCUUUUAGAAUGUUCGAAUUGAGGUAAAAUACACAAAGAAAAAUAAACAUCCAAAAGGUUCGAGGUCGUCCCUUCCUAAUAAAAAAAUAAAACAAAAUAAAGUAAGUCUUCUUAACUUAUACUACGCCUCCAUUGAUGAUGCCACGACUCCAUUUACAUUUACUUCGGGGCAUUCCCCAGGUUAAAAUAUUUACAAUGUCUACGGGGCAUUCCCCGAAUGAAUUUAUCUAAGGGACAACCUCCCACCUUACGUUCAAACAUUAUAAGUUAAACUAAACAUCCCAAUGCUUGCCUCCCCAAAUAAUGACGGCCUAAGCAUGUUACUAGUGGGGAAGUGAAGAGCUAAUAAUAACUAAAUAGAAUUACUAAACUUUAAACGCGUUUCCAUUUUCUUUCAAUUUUUAAUUUUUUCAAUUAUACGACCUUUUGAUUCAAGCUUAACUAAUGAAAUAAUGAUAUAAUAUUUUCUUUUUAAACAAUACUACACCCAUACCCAUUUAUGUAAAACUUGAGCAAUUGAAUACCAAUUUAGUGAUCAUAAAAUUAAAUCAAAUUACAGUUCCGUGCGUCCAAACCAACAGAUUCAAAACUAUAAACACUUAAACACGGAAGUAAGGCAAAACAUAAGUAAUGGAAGAAGAUUAAAUCUAACCAAAAGUAAAUGAGAUAGUAGAACAGAAAGGAACCUGUUAAGAAAUUGUUCUUUAGUACCCGAAAAUUGAAAUAGCUUUGCCGAAGUGUAAAUCCGAAUGAAGGAGACAACAAUGAGAUGAAUCCGAAAACGCGAGCGAAACUCGAACCGGCAACCCAAAAUCAGCAAACUCUACGAGCAGCAACAAAAUCGGCUAGAACCUCAGUUAGAAUUGAUGGAGUCGAAUGAAAGAUGACGAGCUAACAGGUUUUCGGCGAAGCUCGACUUCGAGCACAGCUUCAAUGUAAGAUUUCAGAGCUGAACAAAUAGUGACCUUUUCGUGUGAGUUUCAGCUGGUAUGCAAGAGAAAAAAAUCGAGGGGUCGAUGGUUGUGGGUCGACUACUUUUCAGUUCCGUUUUGAGAUGAAAAAAGGAUAGUUUUCGAGCUGGUUUUUAGGGGAUUUUCGGAUUAGUUUCCGCCGGUUCCCGGUGAAGCUCGCCGGCAUUGGAACCUAGAUGCUUGAGAUCUAGAAACAUUUGGGAUUGGAGUGCUCUUGUGUGUGUUAGCUUCAAGAAAAUGAGAUGAGGGGUCGUUCGUGUCAGCCCGGAGAGAGAGGGGGUCAGUUUGCCGGUGUUGAAGGGGUCGCCGAUGGCUGGAGCUGGAGGAGUUAGUUGGUCGUGGAUGUGUGUGGAGUGGUCGCCGGCAGGUGAAGGUUGAUGUGGUAGCUGACUGUUCUCUUAGGAUUUUUUGUAUCUUUUUGUCUUGUGUUCAAGAAGAAGAUCUCAUGGGGUUCUUCUCAUGGUUUGUCCUGGAGAAGAAGAUGAAGGUCUGCUCCUUGUUUUGUGUAAUUCGUUGAAGAAGAUGAAGGUCUUCUCCAUGUGAAAUACGGCUGAACCCAUCCCUCUAGGUCUAGGUUUUUUUAUUUUUCUUGUAUAUUAUCUUAAAUGGGUGUCUAGGUUUGGGCUUUUGAGUUAAGGGGCUAAGAGAUUGGUUUAAUUGGGCUACAAGCAAGACUAAAUUGGUCCGGAAACUAAUUCUAUCCUCUCCUCCUUUUUGUAUAUAAAAAUAAUAUAGGAAACAAUAUAGCUAUUAAAAAUACUACUUAAUCUUACUUAAGAAAAUAACUAUUAAAAUAAUACUAACCGUUUAAAACAAACCUAUUUUUUGGUAUUUU
This 4064-nucleotide long non-coding RNA is filed under the name Nicotiana tabacum (common tobacco). RNAcentral's name for it is "long non-coding RNA (NTAB_LNC001251)". The record is from RNAcentral. Lineage: Eukaryota; Viridiplantae; Streptophyta; Magnoliopsida; Solanales; Solanaceae.